RNAcentral lists this transfer RNA (71 nucleotides) under Percilia irwini. RNAcentral's name for it is "tRNA-Met". It matches the Rfam family "tRNA". From Rfam's summary of the family: Transfer RNA (tRNA) molecules are approximately 80 nucleotides in length. Their secondary structure includes four short double-helical elements and three loops (D, anti-codon, and T loops). Further hydrogen bonds mediate the characteristic L-shaped molecular structure. tRNAs have two regions of fundamental functional importance: the anti-codon, which is responsible for specific mRNA codon recognition, and the 3' end, to which the tRNAs corresponding amino acid is attached (by aminoacyl-tRNA synthetases). tRNAs cope with the degeneracy of the genetic code in two manners: having more than one tRNA (with a specific anti-codon) for a particular amino acid; and 'wobble' base-pairing, i.e. permitting non-standard base-pairing at the 3rd anti-codon position. Lineage: Eukaryota; Metazoa; Chordata; Actinopteri; Centrarchiformes; Percichthyidae. The record is from RNAcentral. RNAcentral also lists the same sequence under 1 other name.
AGUAAAGUAAGCUAAAUAUAAGCUCCUGGGCCCAUACCCCAAACAUGUAGGUUAAAGCCCUGCCUUUACUA